GAUGAACGCUGGCGGCGUGCCUAAGACAUGCAAGUCGAGCGGUAAGGCCCCUUCGGGGGUACACGAGCGGCGGACGGCAGAGUAACGCGUAGGAACCUACCCCAAACUGAGGGAUAAGCACCAGAAAUGGUGUCUAAUACCGCAUGUGCUCCUCGGAGUAAAGCUACGGCGGUUUGGGAAGGGCCUGCGUCUGAUUAGCUUGUUGGUAAGGUAAGGGCUUACCAAGGCGACGAUCGGUAGCUGGUCUGAGAGGAUGAUCAGCCUGACUGGGACUGAG
This 277-nucleotide ribosomal RNA is filed under the name uncultured bacterium. Its description in RNAcentral is "partial 16S ribosomal RNA". It matches the Rfam family "Bacterial small subunit ribosomal RNA", at positions 28 to 323 of the family's 1533-position model. The record is from RNAcentral.